RNAcentral lists this long non-coding RNA (4122 nucleotides) under Oreochromis niloticus (Nile tilapia). RNAcentral describes it as "lncRNA (ENSONIG00000042296.1)". Lineage: Eukaryota; Metazoa; Chordata; Actinopteri; Cichliformes; Cichlidae. The record is from RNAcentral.
AUGAAGAACCCUGUUCUCCUCUCUGCAGCCCUGCUGCUGCUGUUUUUUGUUGGGACAUCAGCUCAGGGUAACACUAACUUCAGAGUGCAGGUGAAUGUGCCACCCAGUGACAUUAAGACCUACAACACUUCUACUGCUUAUAGAGGAAGCCUCUUCGGUGGACUGACGAGACUGAAAUACUCAAACCAAGGCUUCAACUUUCAGUACAUACCAUAUGACGACUAUGGACCAUUCCUUCAGAGUGUAAAUGGUUUGGCAGGAAAUUCAUCAUACUACUGGCAACUGCUGAGUGGUAAAACCCCACUUAAUGUUGGUAUGGGAUGUUACCUUCCAACAGCAAAUGAAGUCGUCACCCUGAAAUACACGAAAAUUUAAGACCAUCUAAAGUCUUAUUGUUACUUAUGGUCAACCAAUACACUUUGAUCUUUGGCAAGUUGAGGUGAAUAAUUGACUUGUUGUGUCAUUUUUUUGCUUGGGAGUCUUUUAAUCAUAAAUCAGUAGCCUAUCACUGUCUUAGAUUCUUUUACUGGGUUUCUGUCAGACUUUAUGAAUUAAGAUUACAGCGUUAAUCUACAAUUCUGCCACAGUGUAGUAAUCUGAAGUAAGAGAAAACUCCAUCAGUCACAAGAGCAAUCAGUAAAACAUAUACAACACAACAACUUGAACUGUUUUUUAAUUUACUGCCUUUAUGGCAACUUUUAUUGUGUUUGAGAGUAAUUAAUAGUUUCUCAACUUGCCCCUGAGUGUCAUAAUUUUACAUUCAAAUUUCAUUUUUUGAGAGCUACAAGUGCUCUCAGUUUUACUCUAAAAAGAUGGUGUGGUUAUACAGUAGACUGCCCAGAGACUGCUGGCCAGCAAAAACAGCAAGGUGGGUCAGCUGCUGACUCCAUGUCAAAAUAGCUUCUUUAUCCUGCAAAUCAAGUUAUCAACAGCUUGCGAGUCAAAAGGCUUCUGAGAUUGACUGGGCUGCUGACCUCCACCUGGACACCAGCAGGUCUCAAGAUCAGCUGUGAAAUUAAAGCUAUUUUUAUACUUUUGGGGCUCCUAGAGGGGUGUGAGAGGGGCAAAAUAAGAUCAAAUUCAUUGUUGAAUCAUUUUUGUAUUAGUGCAUUUUUAUUGUUUAUUAAAAUGUUACUGAUUAUUAGUGUUAUCUUUUGCAGGCAUUAAAUAAAGCAUGUAACUUGUAGUCAAAGUAAAAUGUUUCUAGCCUUGGUUUGUUUUAUUUUUAGACAAGGUGUAUUUAAAAUGUUGUUAGCAUGUCCACCAUCAUGUAUCUUAAGACAAAGAAAGGUCUAGACCAAGGGUGUCAAAAAUAAGGCCAGAGGCCAGAAACGGCCCGUCAAAGACUCCAUUCCAACCCUCUGGAAGGCUCUGGAAAAUGUAAGGGAGAGCAUGGAUUUUGAACUUCUAACUGUAUUUUCAUAAGUUUAAAGCUUUUCCUAUUAAUAAAGAGCCCGCCUCAUUUAUACUACAGCAAAGUAAUUAAUAGAUAAACAAUUAAAUGACAGAAAUUUCUCUACUAUAUAAAUUUACAGUGGAUUUACAGGAGAAAGUAUCUUUUCUUUGAAUGAAUCAAAAAUGUAUAUUUUAGAAUUAUGGGAUAGUCUUGGUAAUUAAUUACUUUUUGUGUAAUUUUACACAUUUAUCAUGUAAAUUCACUGGUCUGGCCUACUUAGGAUCAAAGUAGCUUGUAAGUGGCCCACGAUGUAAAAUGAGUUUUACAUCCCUGGUUUAAACUGCAAAAUUAACAUUUAGUUUACAGUAAAAGUAUUCUGACAACUAGCAACAAAGCUAAGGAGCUACUAAGAACUGUUACAUUUGGGAGAGAACUUUCAUUAGCCAAAUGUUUGUAUAUAUAUUCUUGGGGCAGGUUAACAUUGUGUCUAUGAAAAGGUAGCAGUGGAGACUUUGGCAAGACGAUCAUUAGCAGCUGCACAAAUGUCUUUGACCUCAGAUUAAUUCAUGGACUGCUCAGCAUCUGGAAAACACCCCCAACAAUCAGUGGCGUGUCUAGAAAAUUUUUGUUGGGGGGGCCAGGUAGGGGCACAGAUUUGGAGAAGGGUGGAAGAUGUAAUUGGCAGAUAAUGUUAAAAAAAAAUUCUACCAACCGUUAACCAUAAUUCAAUAACCCUAUAAACCUAAUAACCGAAUGCACUUUUAACUCUUAUUAGAAUGAGAUUUUAACCACUACGGUGCAAAGUUUUUAGAUAUUGCGUUGAUAAAGUACAAGGGAUACAAUCAGUGCUUUGUCAGUGUUUAUUCAGCAUUCAAGGACAGCAAUAUUUGCAUAGUAUUUUUACUGACAUAUAGUGCAGAUAUGUUUUGGGCAAAAACAUUUUUGAAUAUUAAAAUACAAACAUUUUUAACAUACAAUUGGCAAAUUAGCCAAUGCAAAACUUUAUCUGCCUAUUAAAAAAAGAAGAUAAUCUUCUCACAAACUGGUGUUUGAUUUUGAAACAGGAAAAAAGUGGGGAAACAAAUGAAAAGAUUAACAUUUGAAUGAAACCUGAAAGCAAGUAAAUACUUUCUAUGCUGCCUUAUGAUAAACUUUGGUAAUACUGAUGUAUAAAGAACAACACUGGCUGAUGAUGAAAUACAGUCAGCUGGCAUGGUGACACUGCCAGUAUUAACCUGCAGGGCUGCACUGGGACAAAAAAUUGGGCAUUUUGACUAGAGACCGGCGGGCGACAUCCGCUGGUUUCCUCUUUCUGGCGCAAAGUGGGCGAUAAACAAACAAGGGAGAAAAGCCGAUCAGCUGAUCAUUGAUCAGUUUCAUGAUUGAAGUAGAAACAGGAGAGGGAGGGGGGAGACUGAGAGAAGAAGAGGCAGCUGUGCAGCGUAAAGACAGAAUAACUCCAGCUUUGUCUUUUUUUCAUUCUAGCUGAAGUCCGGGACAAACUACGUCUCUCUCAGCUCAAUACGAAAUGUGUAAUAUUUUCUCUGAAUGAGGGACCAUUCCAUUUUUUUAAGGAGCCGCUGACAACUCUACUAACUAACCUUAUGAAUAAAAUAAAGUUCACUAUCAGUAACAUCAUAGCAUCCACCCAGCUGUAUAGAAACUCUGUCAUGCUAGCUAGUACGCAGUACGAGUUAUUGUAACUGACUGUAAAAAGUCAGCACAACGAAAAUAAACUCCACCUAAACUUGGUUUAUAUCUGACCCAGAUAGACUGCAGGUCAUAACUUCUUACCUGAAAUUUAGUUCACCUGACACUCGGACUGGCGGCUGCCUCGGAUCUCUCCUUCUCCUGCCUCCCCUUCCCUCAUCCACCUGCUGGCCUCCAUGCAAGCUCCGCCAUAGCCACCACCAAACAACUGAGUUAUUUUUACACAUCGGCCAGCAUCUGGCCUAUCCACCACCUCUCAUUGUUCAUGCCGUUACAAAUAAAAGAAAUAAAUAAGUCAUCAGCCCACCGGGCAAAUACCCAGGUAUGCUCGAUGGCCAGUCCAGCUAUGUUAACCUGUUAAUCUUUUGCUGAAAAACUGUUUUCUGAGGUGCUGUCUUUGGUGCUUGGCUCUCCUACCUUUGCUAACAUGAUGCUCAUAGCGCAGAAGCCGAUGCUGCAUUCACUUACACUCGGAUAUCUGACCUUCACUGUGAAAACAUAAUCGUACAUUUGAUAUUUCAUUGAAUUUUAUUGUUUUAGCUUCGGGGUGGCCAGUCUGCUUGGGGGGGGUGUUCCCUGUGCCCCCCCAGGCCACCCUGCUGGACGCGCCACAGCCAACAAUCAAACAGCCCCAUAUGAACAAGCACUUUGCUACAAUGGGGUGGAAAAAACUCUGACAGAACCAUGUUAAGGAUGGGCCAGCCAUCUCCCCUAACCAUUUGGAGGAUGAGGGGAAAGAGAAAAAAAGAAGAGAAGAAAGAACAAAAGACACAAUAUGGGAGAGGGAAGACAAAAUUUAAUGAUAUAGUAAAGCAUGCAAUAGACUGGUCUACUGUGUCCAUUUCAUGCUUUGCCUCUCCAAAGCGUGAAAUUGACACACAUGCAAAAGUUGCAGUACUAGCAUAUUAUAUUUGAAGUCAACAAGUUGCUAAUGAGCAAGGAAGGUUAGAGAAUUGGCAAAGACAGCUGGACCAGGUAAGGGCUUUUUAACUAAUAGGAAUAGGAAGAUGUCUUAG